CCCUUAGAUGUUCUGGGCUGCACACGUGCUACACUGGCAGGUUCAGCGAGCUUCAUGCCCUGAUCUGAAAGGAAUGGGAAAUCUUUUCAAAACCUGCCGUGCUUGGGAUAGAUGUUUGCAAUUAUUCAUCUUCAACGAGGAUUGCCUUGUAAGCGCACGUCAUCAGCGUGCAUUGAAUACGACCCUGUAUUCUGUACACACCGCCCGUCGCUCCUACCGAUUGAAGUUUUCGGUGAGUUGACAGGAGGAUUUUUUUGAAACUGGUUCGCCAGUGGAUUUUAGAUCCAAAUGCCAACGAAUCGAGGGCUUUAGAGGAAGGAGAAGUCGUAACA
This 332-nucleotide ribosomal RNA is filed under the name uncultured eukaryote. RNAcentral's name for it is "partial 18S ribosomal RNA". It matches the Rfam family "Eukaryotic small subunit ribosomal RNA", at positions 1470 to 1796 of the family's 1831-position model. The record is from RNAcentral.